RNAcentral lists this transfer RNA (75 nucleotides) under Tripterospermum microcarpum. RNAcentral's name for it is "partial tRNA-Leu". Lineage: Eukaryota; Viridiplantae; Streptophyta; Magnoliopsida; Gentianales; Gentianaceae. The record is from RNAcentral.
UCGAAAUCGGUAGACGCUACGGACUUAAAAAUCAUGAGGGUUCAAGUCCCUCUAUCCCCAAAAAUCCUAUUUGAC